AGAGUUUGAUCCUGGCUCAGGACGAACGCUGGCGGCGUGCUUAACACAUGCAAGUCGAACGGAAAGGCCCUUCGGGGUACUCGAGUGGCGAACGGGUGAGUAACACGUGGGUGAUCUGCCCUGCACUUUGGGAUAAGCCUGGGAAACUGGGUCUAAUACCGAAUAUGACCAUGCGCCUCCUGGUGUGUGGUGGAAAGCUUUUGCGGUGUGGGAUGGGCCCGCGGCCUACCAGCUUGUUGGUGGGGUAAUGGCCUACCAAGGCGACGACGGGUAGCUGGCCUGAGAGGGUGACCGGCCACACUGGGACUGAGAUACGGCCCAGACUCCUACGGGAGGCAGCAGUGGGGAAUAUUGCACAAUGGGCGCAAGCCUGAUGCAGCGACGCCGCGUGAGGGAUGACGGCCUUCGGGUUGUAAACCUCUUUCAGCACAGACGAAGCGCAAGUGACGGUAUGUGCAGAAGAAGGACCGGCCAACUACGUGCCAGCAGCCGCGGUAAUACGUAGGGUCCGAGCGUUGUCCGGAAUUACUGGGCGUAAAGAGCUCGUAGGUGGUUUGUCGCGUUGUUCGUGAAAACUCACAGCUUAACUGUGGGCGUGCGGGCGAUACGGGCAGACUUAAGUACUGCAGGGGAGACUGGAAUUCCUGGUGUAGCGGUGGAAUGCGCAGAUAUCAGGAGGAACACCGGUGGCGAAGGCGGGUCUCUGGGCAGUAACUGACGCUGAGGAGCGAAAGCGUGGGGAGCGAACAGGAUUAGAUACCCUGGUAGUCCAA
This 773-nucleotide ribosomal RNA is filed under the name uncultured bacterium. Its description in RNAcentral is "bacterial SSU rRNA". It matches the Rfam family "Bacterial small subunit ribosomal RNA", at positions 8 to 798 of the family's 1533-position model. The record is from RNAcentral.